This 254-nucleotide ribosomal RNA is filed under the name uncultured bacterium. RNAcentral's name for it is "partial 16S ribosomal RNA". It matches the Rfam family "Bacterial small subunit ribosomal RNA", at positions 524 to 776 of the family's 1533-position model. The record is from RNAcentral.
UACGGAGGGGGCAAGCGUUGUUCGGAUUUACUGGGCGUAAAGGGCGCGUAGGCGGUCGUGACAAGUCACUUGUGAAAUCUCCGGGCUUAACUCGGAACGGUCAAGUGAUACUGUCGGACUAGAGUACAGAAGGGGCAACUGGAAUUCUCGGUGUAGCGGUGAAAUGCGUAGAUAUCGAGAGGAACACCUGCGGCGAAGGCGGGUUGCUGGGCUGAUACUGACGCUGAGGCGCGAAAGCCAGGGGAGCGAACGGG